Long non-coding RNA from Equus caballus (horse), 1593 nucleotides. The record is from Ensembl. Lineage: Eukaryota; Metazoa; Chordata; Mammalia; Perissodactyla; Equidae.
CGAAGUUUGGUCAUGGAUUGAAAACUGGACCCUGCCUGUUACCAUGAAAACAAGCAUAAAACUGGUUGUCAGGGAAACUAGAUUCUUGUCCUGGUUCAUUGACUUGGCCCUGAGAAGCCAUGUUCCUUAUCUCAGCCUCGGCUUCCUCAUGAAUAAGGCACCAGUGCUUUCCCAUGAACUUUGUCUAUCUUAGGAGAAUCCUGGUUGGCCAGCACGAGGAGGAGAGGGAGCAGAGGAGGGUGAGAAAAGAGCCUGCAGCGUGCCCUUCUGUCUGAAACAAUGAACAGCCCAUCACACGAAGAGCUAGAAAACAACCCAGGAGAAGGAGGCAUUCUGCCGCAUGAAUAGGGAGAUGUCAUUAGCAGGGUUGCCUCCCCACUCUCUCCAGCAUAGAAGACGUACUGCCUGACAGCGCCCGAUCCUCCAAUCUCCCUGAAGCUGUCUCCUUAGGUCUCCUCACUCCUCAAGAGAAGUGGAACUUUCUUGGAUUGGGAAAGUCCCUUACCUGGGCCACUGGAAGGAUCCAAAUGUUGGACAGCAACCACACUCUGCAGGACACAGGUUUGCGGAAUACCUGAGGGAGAAUACGUUCUCUAUGGCUUCCACUGCAGGCAGGUCGAUAACUUGGUCCAGGCUGAUGAUUGAGGAGGAGUUUUGCUGACUUCUGGUGUCAUAGCCCUAGAGAAUUUCACCCCUUCAAAGAAACACUGAAACAAAAAGCAGAACAGGUACGAGAGGUGAAAUUAGAUCCCCCUGAUGGUGACCCCGGCCUGGAUCAAGAGCACAUGGUCUAGCCACAUGAUCCUGUCGAGCUGACACCAAAGGCAGGAGUUGGGAACGGUUUCCAGCGGAGACAAUGUUCCAUUCUAGAUCCCUACUGAACUGAGGGGAGAUGGGAUAGCAAGCACAGUUCUGCUCUCUAUGGGCUCCAGUCUCAAGGGCCAAAGGAAAGGUCACACCAGCACAUUAACCGUGGGAAGCCAUGUUGAUGCUGAUACCUGGGUCAUUUCCACCGAUAGCCUUGUAUCAUCCACACAGAAGGAAGACUUGGCGUCAGUGUAGACACCGCCUUAGUGGUUCCUCUUGUAAACUGAGCCUUGCAGUGCAGACGUGUGACCAAGGUUAUCCCUGGAAAGAACGUCAUGGGCCUCAGUGGAAAGUUGCUGGACAAGCCCCAGACUGUGUUAUGAAACAAACCCUUGUUUCCAGGGUGGGACACUUGCUGAAUGAUCUGUGUUAUGUGGUUGCAAGUAAGAAUGACAAAAAUAAAGCAUCCUUAAUUUCUGGGAAAGUCAGUGCUCGAACUUCAAGAAUGAGUUAUUGAGGGAGGGGAUGACGUCUCCUGGGUUGGGAGGUCUACUGGAGAAAGCCCAAUAGCUUUCCCAACUGGGGCCGCUUCAUCACCCCUGGGGACUGAGCUGUGUUUCUUGGGCUGGAGAACAGAAGGAGCCGGUAGUUCAUCAUGUUGACAGCCAGUCAUGGGGGCCUGGAGGCCUGUGUUCCCAAUCACAGGGUUCCUGCCUUCUCUUCUCCCACCAAAUCCUUGCCUGGGGCCCCUGCCUCUCCCUGGUGAGAUUUCUGCUUUCAAAUCCC